RNAcentral lists this long non-coding RNA (325 nucleotides) under Elaeis guineensis (African oil palm). RNAcentral describes it as "long non-coding RNA (EGUI_LNC078692)". Lineage: Eukaryota; Viridiplantae; Streptophyta; Magnoliopsida; Arecales; Arecaceae. The record is from RNAcentral.
CGAUAAGGUGGUGGCCAUAACUGCAAAAGAAAAAUCAAAACCUAAUUAGUAUAUGAAUUAAUUAAACCUAAAGAUAUAAUUUUUAGUCUAAAGGUUCUCCCACUAUUUUAUUCAAAUUAAUAGUCUCUACCUCCAAUUUGAGAAAGUACACUAAUUCCUUAAUGGGUAUCAGAAUCCACAUAGACUGCACAUAGGCCUGAGUGUGGCUCGACCAAUGCUUGUGCAACUAUAGGUAGGUUCUUAACUAAUUAUUUCAUCAAACAAUUUCUAGCAUUCAAUUUUGCCCCAGACACCUCUUUAGCAGGCAUGUGGCGCCUUCACUGAA